This 550-nucleotide ribosomal RNA is filed under the name Penicillium expansum. Its description in RNAcentral is "eukaryotic LSU rRNA". The stretch from base 207 to 359 matches the Rfam family "5.8S ribosomal RNA". Lineage: Eukaryota; Fungi; Ascomycota; Eurotiomycetes; Eurotiales; Aspergillaceae. The record is from RNAcentral.
UUCCGUAGGUGAACCUGCGGAAGGAUCAUUACCGAGUGAGGGCCCUUUGGGUCCAACCUCCCACCCGUGUUUAUUUACCUCGUUGCUUCGGCGGGCCCGCCUUAACUGGCCGCCGGGGGGCUCACGCCCCCGGGCCCGCGCCCGCCGAAGACACCCCCGAACUCUGCCUGAAGAUUGUCGUCUGAGUGAAAAUAUAAAUUAUUUAAAACUUUCAACAACGGAUCUCUUGGUUCCGGCAUCGAUGAAGAACGCAGCGAAAUGCGAUACGUAAUGUGAAUUGCAAAUUCAGUGAAUCAUCGAGUCUUUGAACGCACAUUGCGCCCCCUGGUAUUCCGGGGGGCAUGCCUGUCCGAGCGUCAUUGCUGCCCUCAAGCCCGGCUUGUGUGUUGGGCCCCGUCCUCCGAUUCCGGGGGACGGGCCCGAAAGGCAGCGGCGGCACCGCGUCCGGUCCUCGAGCGUAUGGGGCUUUGUCACCCGCUCUGUAGGCCCGGCCGGCGCUUGCCGAUCAACCCAAAUUUUUAUCCAGGUGACCUCGGAUCAGGUAGGAUCC